Molecule: long non-coding RNA, 1707 nt
Filed under: Equus caballus (horse)
Lineage: Eukaryota; Metazoa; Chordata; Mammalia; Perissodactyla; Equidae
Description: lncRNA (ENSECAG00000047950.1)
Source: RNAcentral
GGAGACGCAAUAGGCUGGAGGGAGGGGUAGGCUGCAAACUGGAGGGUUGGUUGGAAAUUUGAAUAUGGAGCAGUUAACACCCCUAGAACCCUGUCAAGUCUGGGCAGGCUGGCGACUGCUGCCCCUCCCCCAUGCACCCUAGUGGAGAGCUGGGGGCUUGGGCUGCAGGGGGAGUUCAUCCAGAGAGGCUCUGAACUGGGAGACGCCUCAGUGAGAAUGCUUACAUCCACACGCUUUUCCAUACGCUGCCCCCAAAACGCUUUGUCAGUCUCUCACCUCCUGGCUUGAGAAUAAAGGAUUUCUCUCUAAGGAAACCAACCAAGCCAAUGGCAAAGACCUACAGAUACUGCCAUCUGGGGCUCCCAGUGGACCAGCUGGACCCCCAGCCCAGCACCCUACAGCGAGGCCCACAGUGGGCGAGUCCUUCCCGCACAAGGAAAGCUCCCCAGUCAGACCUGAGUGCCCCGCUCUUCAAUGUGAGUGGACAGCUGAGGAUCACUUAGGCCUCUGAGGAAAGUCUGCGCUUGAAAGUUACCCGAAUAAACAGAAGGUGAGAAGCAGGAAGGAAGGGACUUAAGGCAGGGAGAAAACUUUUUAAAAGAGUAAUUGAUAUUCCCAGAAAACUAAGAGAAGAUACCACAUCCAAAAAGUAAGGAACAAUAUUUCAUGUAAUUUUUUCCCCAGCUUUUUUUGUUGUGACUGCUGUCGAACUGAUUCCGACUCCUAGCGACCCUGUGGACAGCAGACUGCAACCCUGCCUGGGUUUUUGGUGCCAUCUCUCCCCUUCCGGCGCUAUAUCAGACAAUGAAUGCUCGACUGCUAUUUGUGGGGUCUUUUGGAAGUGGGUGACCAGGCCCUUUGUCCCAGUCUGUCUGAGUCUGGAAAUCCUGCUGAAGCCUGUCUACCACACCACAGUGUGACAACUGACAGACAGGUGGUGUGGCUCUCUGACUGGAAACAAACCCGGGCAACGGCAAUGAGAGUGCCAGAUCUUAACCCCUGGACCAUCUUUCCACCUUUACCGAAGACAUAACUGGCAUACGACAUUGUGCGGAGGGACGGGAUGGAUCCCGACCAGGAGGUCCUGCCUGGAGCCUCAGGCUGUAAGCUCGUGUUAUAGUCACUCAGCAUCUAUUAAGCAUCUGCCAUGGGCCAGGCCCUCUUCUCAGCACUGGGAACACAUCAAUGGACCAAAGAGACAAAGCCCCGACUUGGUGGAUCUAUAUUCUAGUGUUUAUCUUUGAAGCCUCACGUUUUACUCGAAACCAUCACAGAAGGAGCUGCCACCUGAAGGGACACAGCCCCGCCUGGAGGAGAGCAGAACCUGGGAAGGGGGCAAGUUCAAAGGCACUGGAGACCCAGAGACGACUGCAGAGGUGAGAUGCCCGUCCUCAUGGAGCUGCCCUCGAGUAGGGGCGUCACAGGACAAACCCGUAAACCUGUUACCCACUUUAACAAGAUAAUUCCGACUGGUGAGAAGCACCAUGAAGAAAGCAAAGCAGAGUCAUCGGAUGGAGCGUGAUGGACAGAGGCCACUUUUGGAAGGUCCUUCUAGGCAGUGCUUCCUCAGGAGCCAGUUUCAACAAUUAUCCUGCGAAAUUAUUGUUAAAUUUAAACAAUCUUUCAACGAAAGAAAUGGAUUCUGGAUCCAGAAAUUUUCUGUGCGUGGAUUUUCUUUUGAUGGAAAAUAAAAUUCUGUCAUUCCUG